UCUCCGUUGGUGAACCAGCGGAGGGAUCAUUACAGAGAUUUAUCUCGCCCAACCCUUUGUGAACUUACCAGUUGCCUCGGCGGCUUGGGGGUUUCGUACCCCCGCGGCCGCCGCAGGACACCAAACUCUUGUUUAACCCGGAUUCUGAAAUAAAAAGCAAAUAGUUAAAACUUUCAACAACGGAUCUCUUGGUUCUGGCAUCGAUGAAGAACGCAGC
This 217-nucleotide unclassified non-coding RNA is filed under the name uncultured fungus. RNAcentral's name for it is "sequence contains ITS1, 5.8S rRNA gene". The stretch from base 169 to 217 matches the Rfam family "5.8S ribosomal RNA", at positions 1 to 49 of the family's 154-position model. The record is from RNAcentral. Lineage: Eukaryota; Fungi.